AUACUUCGAUACCGAUGUGCGCUUGGCC
Molecule: small RNA, 28 nt
Filed under: Bombyx mori (domestic silkworm)
Lineage: Eukaryota; Metazoa; Arthropoda; Insecta; Lepidoptera; Bombycidae
Description: ovarian small RNA-12365
Source: RNAcentral